RNAcentral lists this ribosomal RNA (570 nucleotides) under Salmonella enterica subsp. enterica serovar Saintpaul. RNAcentral's name for it is "partial 23S ribosomal RNA". It matches the Rfam family "Bacterial large subunit ribosomal RNA", at positions 1 to 599 of the family's 2925-position model. The record is from RNAcentral. Lineage: Bacteria; Pseudomonadati; Pseudomonadota; Gammaproteobacteria; Enterobacterales; Enterobacteriaceae.
GGGUUGUGAGGUUAAGCGACUAAGCGUACACGGUGGAUGCCCUGGCAGUCAGAGGCGAUGAAGGACGUGCUAAUCUGCGAUAAGCGCCGGUAAGGUGAUAUGAACCGUUAUAACCGGCGAUUUCCGAAUGGGGAAACCCAGUGUGACUCGUCACACUAUCAUUAACUGAAUCCAUAGGUUAAUGAGGCGAACCGGGGGAACUGAAACAUCUAAGUACCCCGAGGAAAAGAAAUCAACCGAGAUUCCCCCAGUAGCGGCGAGCGAACGGGGAGGAGCCCAGAGCCUGAAUCAGCAUGUGUGUUAGUGGAAGCGUCUGGAAAGGCGCGCGAUACAGGGUGACAGCCCCGUACACAAAAGCGCAUGUGCUGUGAGCUCGAUGAGUAGGGCGGGACACGUGGUAUCCUGUCUGAAUAUGGGGGGACCAUCCUCCAAGGCUAAAUACUCCUGACUGACCGAUAGUGAACCAGUACCGUGAGGGAAAGGCGAAAAGAACCCCGGCGAGGGGAGUGAAAAAGAACCUGAAACCGUGUACGUACAAGCAGUGGGAGCACAGGUUUACCUGUGUGACUG